CCUCUUUUGUUUUUAUCCAGCGUCUGCUUCCUCUCUCUCUCUCUCUCUCUCUCUCCCCGUCUUCCUCCUUCCUCUACCCCUUCCUCCCGCUCUCUGCCUCCCUGCAGCGCCAAGCCGGCUCCCCAGCCUAGUCUGCCGAACGCAAACCACUGAGAGUUUGCCGAGCCUCCCCCGGGGGCGCGGGCCGCCCAGUCCCGCUCCGGCACGGUCGCCAGCCGGCGAGGGAGCGCCGCCGAAGGAAAACAAGCGGGCGCGCGAGGGGAGCCCCGGAGAGGGUGGCUGGGCGGCGGCGGGCCGCCGAGUUCGAAUCCGGGCGGCCGCGCCGCCAGCCCCCGCGCCCCCUCCGCCCGCGCGGCGCUCCGGGGGACGAGCUGGCUCCGCUCGCGGCUCGAGCGGCGAGCGUUUCCUAACGUGAGAGGCCGGGCCCCGCGGGCGAGGGCCGGGGAGCCGGGCCAGCGGGCGGCGAGGCGCCGGGGCAGCGCGGAAGCAGCGGGUCCCAUGCCGGCGGCCAACAUGAUGGAGAGUCUGCAGCCGCCCGCCUUGCAGGUGCCCGAGCCGCGGGGCGCGCCAGAGGGCAGCCCGGUCUGGUCCAGCUCGUCGACCCCCACGCUUCGCCGCCGGCGCUUCAAAAUGCGCCGCACCAAGAACGUGCAGGAGCCGAGCCUGGAGGCCGGCCUGAGCGGGGACCUGCCCGGCGUCUUGGCGCCCGGCAAGGAGUUCCUGCAGCUGCCAUCCAUCGAGAUCACGCCCUCCAGCGACGAGGACACCCCGUGGUCCAAUUGCUCCACGCCCAGCGCUUCCCCGCGCCGCAAACGCUUCCUCCUGCGCAAGUGGCUGCGGGUGAGGGAGCGGAAGGAGUGCAGCGAAAGCAGCAGCCAGCAGAGCAGCCAGCAGAGCAGCCAGCAGAGCAGCCAUGACGAUGACUCCAGCAGGUUCCUGAGUCCUCACGUGCGGGAAGAAAGCACUGCCAGUAACUCCAACCGCAGCACACCAGCCUGCUCCCCCAUCCUCCGAAAGCGGUCUCGCUCACCAACCCCGCAGAACGUAGACGGAGACACCAUGGUGGAGAAGGGCUCAGAUCACUCCUCGGACAAGUCGCCGUCCACUCCGGAGCAGGGCGUGCAGCGCAGCUGCUCCUCACAGUCCGGCCGCAGUGGUGGCAAAAACUCCAAGAAAAGCCAGAGCUGGUAUAAUGUGUUAAGCCCCACAUACAAGCAGAGAAAUGAAGACUUCAGAAAGCUCUUUAAGCAACUUCCAGACACGGAGCGCCUCAUUGUUGAUUACUCCUGUGCACUCCAAAGAGACAUUCUUCUUCAGGGCCGACUCUACCUCUCCGAAAACUGGAUCUGCUUCUACAGCAACAUCUUCCGCUGGGAAACUCUGCUAACUGUGCGUUUGAAAGACAUCUGCUCCAUGACUAAAGAAAAGACAGCUCGCCUCAUCCCCAAUGCCAUCCAAGUUUGCACUGACUCAGAAAAGCACUUUUUCACUUCGUUCGGGGCCCGGGAUAGGACGUACAUGAUGAUGUUCCGGCUCUGGCAGAAUGCUCUCCUGGAAAAGCCACUGUGCCCCAAGGAGCUGUGGCACUUUGUCCACCAGUGCUACGGGAACGAGCUGGGCCUGACCAGUGACGACGAGGACUACGUGCCCCCCGAUGACGACUUCAACACGAUGGGCUACUGUGAGGAGAUCCCCGUAGAGGAGAAUGAAGUGAACGACAGCUCGUCCAAAAGCAGCAUAGAGACCAAGCCGGAUGCCAGUCCGCAGCUGCCCAAGAAAUCCAUCACCAACAGCACGCUGACGUCCACGGGGAGCAGUGAAGCACCCGUCUCGUUUGACGGCCUGCCCCUGGAGGAGGAGGUGCUAGAGGGCGACGGGUCUCUGGAGAAGGAGCUCGCCAUCGACAACAUCAUCGGGGAGAAGAUUGAGAUCAUCGCACCCGUGAACUCCCCUUCGCUGGACUUCAACGACAACGAGGACCUCCCCACUGAGCUCAGUGACUCUUCAGACACCCACGACGAAGGGGAGGUCCAGGCCUUCUACGAGGACUUGAGUGGCCGGCAGUACGUGAACGAAGUCUUCAACUUCAGCGUGGACAAGCUCUAUGACCUCCUGUUCACCGACUCACCCUUCCAGCGGGACUUUAUGGAGCAGCGACGCUUCUCAGAUAUCAUCUUCCAUCCGUGGAAGAAGGAGGAGAAUGGAAACCAGAGCCGAGUGAUCCUUUACACCAUCACCCUUACCAACCCUCUGGCUCCCAAAACUGCCACCGUCAGGGAGACACAGACCAUGUACAAGGCGAGCCAGGAGAGUGAGUGCUAUGUGAUCGACGCCGAGGUCCUCACGCACGACGUGCCGUAUCACGACUACUUCUACACCAUCAACCGCUACACGCUCACCCGCGUGGCCCGCAACAAGAGUCGACUCAGGGUCUCCACGGAGCUGCGCUAUCGGAAACAGCCCUGGGGGCUGGUGAAAACGUUCAUCGAGAAGAACUUCUGGAGUGGGCUGGAGGACUAUUUCCGCCACCUGGAGAGUGAGCUGACCAAAACAGAGAGCACCUACCUGGCGGAGAUGCACAGACAGUCUCCUAAAGAGAAGGCCAGCAAGCCCCCGACGGUGCGGAGGAGAAAACGGCCCCAUGCCCACCUGCGGGUGCCACACCUGGAGGAGGUGAUGAGCCCCGUCACCACGCCCACUGAUGAGGACGUGGGCCACAGGAUCAAACAUGUGGCAGGUUCCACGCAGACGCGGCACAUCCCCGAGGACAGCCCCAGCGGUUUCCACCUGCAGAGCGUGUCCAAGCUGCUACUGGUUAUCAGCUGUGUUCUGGUGCUGCUGGUCAUCCUCAACGUGAUGCUCUUCUACAAACUCUGGAUGCUGGAGUACACCACCCAGACCCUCACUGCCUGGCAGGGUCUCCGGCUCCAGGAAAGGUUACCCCAGUCCCAGACAGAGUGGGCCCAGCUCUUAGAGUCCCAGCAAAAGUACCACGAUACUGAGCUCCAGAAAUGGAGGGAGAUCAUCAAAUCCUCAGUGAUGCUUCUUGACCAGGCCAGCUUGAGUGAGCUGUUGGAAACACCCGGGUUCCCCAAAGUUACGUCAGUGAAAUAACACAGUGGAUUUGCAAGAGGAAAAAACUAUAGAUUAGAUGGAAGGAGAGCUAUUUUUUUUCUCUUGAUGAAGGACUCACUCAUCAAUCUUCAGAAUGGCAUCAGGUCCCGAGACUACACGUCAGAAAGCGAAGAGAAGAGGAACCGGUACCACUGACAAGGCAGGAGCUGGGGUGGCUGCAGGAGGCCUGUGCAAUACAUGUACAGAGACCAUAUAAAUAUAUAUAUAAAUAUAUAUAUAUACAGAUAUAAAUAUAUAUAUUAUAUACAGAUUUUAAAAAGAGCUAAUGCCUAUGUACCAGGGAGAAGGAGCAGGGCCGCCCCCUGCGCUGGCCGGCGGAGCGCCGAGGAGGGCAGGGACCGCCUCUCAGCACCGACCUCCCCCGACCCUCCUGCUCCCCAUCCUGUCGUCCCCACCCUUUUCCUUGCUGACCACUCUCGGCUCUGAGAAGGGAGAUGUCGAGCCAAAGUUAUGCCUGUGAAGACCCUGGGGUCGCGAGAAGAGGUCUCAAGGGGGGCAUUGCUUAAGGUGCUUCAUUCCCGAAUCCCCUUUUGGUUUGUUUCCAAAACAGAAGAGAAUCUUUUCUUCCCUACCCCACGCUUCCCCCAAGAUGUUCUCUUGGGAAAGAGGAAGCGUCCAGGGCAGGAGCCCGAUCUAAGCUCCACUGUACAAGGCCGCCCCAUGUGCGUGGACCGCGCACCACGAGUCCCUUGAAGGGGUCCCGCAGGCCGUCUGGGCAGGCGUCUCUGAAGGGUUUGGGCUUCGUGGCUGCAGGCUCCUAAGGGCUGGUGUUCUGAUGAAGGGCAUCCUCCUCCAUUACCCCCUGCACCUUCCUCUAACCUGCGUGGGGUGUGGACCCAGUAAGGGUGGGGGUUCCUUCCUUUCCCACCCCACCCCCUUCUCUCUGGUCUUUUCCCAGGCUGGAUCUGGGUGAAGUGUCACUUUUUAGUGCCUAAAGCCCUAUUUUUCCUCUGUGCCCUAAGAGCACAUUGUUUAUUAGUCAGGGUGGAGCGUUUUUGAUCUUGUAAACUUCUCUUUCAGUGAUUGUAAGCAAGUCAGGUCUGUGGCUCUAACCCCUUCCCUUUGAGCUGUCUUUUGAUUUCUAGGGUGAAUCAGGGUGUUCUAGGACCUCCAGGGUUUGAGAAGGUGAAUGUAUUAGCCAUGGACGGAAUGGAGGGUCUCACCACAGAGCUCCUCUUUGAGUAGUGAGCACCAACAUCCACGCACUUUCUGGCUGCCAGCAUCAUUUCCUCUCGUUGAGGAACCUACUUAGUCAAGGGAGAUGACUAUCUGAGAUACUUUGCCCAUGAAAGAAGACCUAAGCCUUGGAAGGAAUGAAUUUGGCCCCAGUGUAUGGGUUUGGGCAGGAAAAAGCCAAUCAAGUCUGCCCCACUGGGGGCUGUUCCAGACCCUGUUUAUCUGAGUUAGGAAUGGAAGUUCUAGCAGGAGGAGCAAAGCCUUCCCUGGCCUCUGGCCCCAGAGAGGUACGAGAUCACUAAGGAAUAGGAAGAAGGCCAUGGGUUAGGAAAGUGAGUUGUUGAGGGCCUUUGGGAACUGGCUUACAGAACCCGUGAUUCUUCUGACCUCAUGGGGCCCUGCUGCACGUGCUUAGCAUCCUUCACACUAACUGCUGUUUCUUCCUGUGAUGACCCAAGGAAUCCUGCCAGCCCCAGGCAGGGCUUGUAGAGAUUCUUAUCAGGAAGGGAUUAUACCAAUUUGGCAAGGAGAGCUCUUCCAGAUUUCUUGUUCUAGCAGACCUCUUAAUGGAACAGGCAGAGGGAAGGGAAAGUUGAUCACUCACCUAGCCAAAAAGAAGAGCUAUAUUAUAUUCUCGUAGACUGGCCUGAGCAUCCCACUUUGGCAAUUAAAAAAAGGUUUUUAACUUUUCAUUCUGUCUGAAAAAGAGGUUCUUGUUAUUGCCCUAAGGGUAGGAAGAGAAGACAGAAAGAUGCUGCAACUAGGUAGGAUGAGAAGGUUCCAUGAGGGUCAUCUGGAACUGAUAGCCCUCAUUUAGAAAAGGAGAUAUGAGGAAAUGGAGUUGCAUGGAAUCCUUGUGAAGGGUGCAUGUGCCCACAGGCCAGCCCGUCAAGAUCAGCCCUGACCAGGACUUUGAAUGGGAGACCCUGAUGAGCAUCAAAGCUUACAGGACCCAAGCAGCAGAGUGCAGGCUGCUAAGAACUUUCUUGUUGGAGUAGCUAGAAGUCAAAAGUAUUCUCAGAAACUUUUGAAAGGACAAAUGGUAAAUUCUCUAAUUUAUGCCAUGCAUAUUUAUUUAUUUAAAUUAUUCAGUUAUUAAAAGUAGUGUAUUGGGACCUUCAGGGUGACUUGAAAAGGGCUAUUUGCUGGCAAUAAAGUGGUGGAAGUAGGCCUGACUCUGUGGGAUUGUUUUACUUUGGCUUCAGCUCACAGGCCCCUCUCAGGCAGAAGCAGUGACAGGGAACUCUGCAAGGAACCCUCUGGAUUUCUGGGGGUUUGGGCAGGAGACAGUGUGUACACAUGAGAAGCAUCUCUUGGCUUGCCUCAUUUCUAAGAAUCUUGGAUCAUUUAUAGGCCUUUUCUCAAACCAGGAGAAAACCAACACCUCUGUUCACUCCCAGACAAAAGCUGUUCCCUUUUACUCGGUAACCUGUCAAAGAGAAGGGACCUCACUCUUGCAGAUCAGUCUGGGAGUGAAACAUGUAAAUGACAUGGUAACUUGUGGCUGGCAGCCUGGCUUGUAAGGGAGUGUUAAAACUGCCAUUUCUGAUGUUAUUUCUCCUCGCCAGGGCUUUUUUUUCCCUUUCCUACAUAAGAACUCAGUCAUACAGGAGUCUUUCUGCAUCAUGUAGUGAGACAUGUGAGUGUUUGCACUUUCUGCAAAAGGUUUUGCAGUUUCUAGACAGGUGAGAACAAUAGUAAGGUUUGCAGUCCACUCCCACUGACUGGGGGGGGAAUUGACGAGGCUGGUGUUGGCAAGGCCAACCAUGUCUGUGACUCUCUGCUGCCCCGUCCCCAUCCUGGGACAAAGGGGUAGCUUUGCAGCACAGUAGGAUCAGCAGUUUGGAGCUCUUGGUAACGGCACUGGUCUGAGAGGGCCAGGAGACCUGGGCCUGAGUCCUGGCCCCGCCUUUGGACAAGUCACACACACAUACACACCCGCCCUCUAAGCUUCAGGGCCUGACCUAGACUAUCCUAAGGUCAGCUCUAGCUUUCACAUGGUCUUGGAGGCUGGGUCAGAGCCUGGCCAGGCUGGGCUUUCUCAAACUUGGAAGGCGCCCUGCCAAGAGAGGACAGGCCUUCUGGACAAGAGCUUCUCUGCUGUUUAGAUGAGUUGUAGGGUAGUGUCAGGGUUCCCGGGGAAUCCAGGGUAGUAAAAUUUUAUUCUAAGGGCUAAGAGGACUAGGGAGGUCCAAUGAAUGGGUGGGAGAGGGAGAUGAGAAAGAGAGAUCAAGCUUGCUGUGUUGUCCAGUGUUAACCUGGGAGGAUGUUUCUUCCUCUGUUGGCCUAGUCUUAGUUUCGAAGAGUUCCUUCCUUGGAACUUUUGUAAGCUGGGAAGAGGAGGAGGGUGGGAAGAAGGACAUCAUCUUGAACUAACCUUGUCUUCCAUCCCUGGGCUGUGAAGCCUUUCAUCUGUCCAUCCUUCUUUCUCUUUGCUAGAGCAAAAGGUGGGGAGAAGUCAUUCCUGAUUCAACCACCUCUCUUUUGUCUCUAACCUCACUGGGGUUUGGAUUAAGUAUGGAGCUUUGGCUAAAAUCCUUGGGUUGCCUUAGAACGCUGACACUAAGAACCUGAGAUUACCAGGAAGGCGGAGGACCAAGAAACCUAGAGGAAUGCUUUGAGAGAAGUGGAUUCUCUUCAUUGCCGUGUCUGUGACACAAGCUUGACCAUGUCUAUAAGUUUGCAGGCAGCAUCUCUAGGGUGAAAUCCUAGAAGCGGGAUUAAGGGAAGGAUCUUUCUGGACUGUGUGGUCUCAGCAGGAUCUUUCCUGUGCCCUCUAUGCUUCAUCUUUAGCUCUGCAGAGCAGCCAAGGCCAGCCCAUCCUCCCAGGGGCCCCAGGAGAAUAGCACUCUCCUCUCUCCCCCCAGGUGGCAGGGCAUCCCCUGACUGCACCUGCCCACUCCACUAGGAAGCUUGAGAACCUCUCUUCCUGACCCUCUCCUCCUCCAACCUUCGUCUCUAGGCAGUGGGACAAUCACCCCAUCCACCACUUGCAUCCUCUGCCCACAUCCCCCAACUUCCAGCAGGGCUGGCCCCGCUCCCCUCCACCUCUAGUUUUCUUCCAGAAGAUGCGGUUUUGGGUCCGGGAGGAACAUUUUUCUGGAAGGCUGUCUUUUCACCCCCCUGCUUUCCUGAUGUGGAGCAGGAACUUGCACAUGGUGUAGAGAGCUCCCCCCGCACCUCUCUGCCCACCUCGUUACCUCACUCCUGCUCCGGCCGUGGCUAUGACGGGCCCAGCCAGCUCCCUGUUCCGAUGUUCUGUGUGAAGCUCAGGGGUCUUGGGCAUUGUUUUCUGUUGUAACUCGAGGCCCUCAGCAGGCCUGGGAGCCCGGAUUGGAGCCUUGGCUGCUGGCGAGAAGCACCUUGCCUGCUAGGAGUUUGAUGCCGGAUGAUGUACCCGACAUGUGAAGGCGUAAAGGACGUUGUCACUUCUGCCCCUCAGCCCUGCCUACUUCUCUCAACACGAGGAGACGCUGCAGAAGCAAAAUGGGGGCCUCUGCUCCAGGCAGGAACAGCUGACUCCAUCUGGGGAGUAGGCCUGGGUGCCGCGCGCCAGGAUUGCUGAAUAAAAGCAGCCAUUGUUGCCAGCACCAGUGUGUGGCUCCCACGUUUCUCUGUCCUGCACUCCAGGGCCAGACCACUCUCUGCAUGGACGAUAUCAUCUUCCCAAACCCAUGGUGCUUUCCCCCUGACUCAACCUGGACUCCAAGGUGGGGAGGGAUGGGUCAGAGGCCACCACGGCCCCUGGAUAACCCUGACCUGGGGUGGAGUGGGGUGAGGCAGAGGGAGCAGCCCCCAACACCUGCACUGGGCCAUACAAGGGAAGGAAUGCAGGUUGAUUGCAGUCGAAUUCUCUGGCCAUUUGCAUUUGGAUCUGUAACUUACUUUGCCUGGCGCUGUGCGCAAGGUCUGAAAACUUACUGCUAGUACCUAGAAACAUUCAAGGCUUCCCGGUCCAAUCUUAAUGUAAAGUAGCUAGAGCCAUGGAAGUACAGUAUGAAUUAAAAGAAAAAAAUGCUGAACUACGAA
This is an RNA transcript of Bubalus bubalis (water buffalo), 8340 nucleotides long. It is a transcript of the gene named GRAM domain containing 1B, with no coding region annotated. NCBI's taxonomy places the organism in Eukaryota, Metazoa, Chordata, Mammalia, Artiodactyla, Bovidae. The transcript has 21 exons. The record is from RefSeq and is a predicted model, not a curated record.